GCCACAUACAUAUUUUCACAGAUAUACAUGCACAUUAACAUACACAUACAAACACACUGGCACUCACACUGCUAUAUACACACACCCUGACACACAGAGACUGUCAUAUACACACAUACACUGACAUGCAUCAGACAUCCCAACAUGCAAAAACUAAUUUCAGGGAGGUGGCUUCACCACUAACUGCACCCCACACACGCAUCCACACACAAGCAUGCACGCCCUACAGAGAUACACAUACAGCCACCAACAUGUAUGAACAAGGACAUGAUAU
Non-coding RNA from Pelobates cultripes (western spadefoot toad), 274 nucleotides. Lineage: Eukaryota; Metazoa; Chordata; Amphibia; Anura; Pelobatidae. The record is from the annotation of a GenBank genome assembly.